Long non-coding RNA from Cyprinus carpio carpio, 1455 nucleotides. NCBI's taxonomy places the organism in Eukaryota, Metazoa, Chordata, Actinopteri, Cypriniformes, Cyprinidae. The record is from Ensembl.
CAUGUAUAUUUACACAGAAAUGUCUGUUGUCACAGAAAAAUGUUUAUUUGAAAAAUAAAGAUAUAUCCUACUGAUUCCUCAAAAUUACUGAAAAACAAACUGUGUCCGUUUUCGUUUUUUCCAUGUCUUAAAAUCCAUCAUAAUGAAUGUAAAUCACCCCCAAAACAAAAGAACAACUUCAAAACAAACCCAUCGAGUUGAUCAGUUUACAGAUGAUGUGUAAAUUCAUUUCAGUUUCAAACAAAAGCAAUUAUUAUUAACAGCAACGUAAACCAGAACAUCGUUAACAUAUUGGUUCCAUUCAUAAUUCGGGUUUCGUUCCAAAUUAUUUCCGAUAUAUGAGCAGUAGUUACUAGGUAAGAAUUACUGGCCAUGAUUUUUUUUUAUUCGACUAAUCUAACAUUUUCAAUAAAAGUUUGACAGUCAUUAUUAUAAAUAGCUACAGCUAAGCCGUACGAACACAACACAACUUUCGAAACGUUGGCAUCCUUCAUACUGUAAACCAAAAGUAACGACUUUAGUCAUCUAGAAAUAUUAGUUUGAUUGUGUGAUUUUGCGUGUCAACAACCACCAAACAUUUGGCGAGACUAUUUCACGCUAAAUGCAGAGCGACUCUAGUUCAGCUAUUAAACUACUAUUUUGGCUUUUAGCUAGCUAGCAUCUCACCUCCAGCGCUUGCUAUUUCGUAAAGGAAAACAAACCAGACAGUUCUAGUAACCAUUAAAAGGCACAUCAUGAAACAAGAUGAAACAAUAGCUUGGCUGAAGACCUUCGUUUUACAUACAAACGUACAGAUCUCGACAAAGAGCGGAAAACGCAAACGUAAAACUAUCGUAUAAGUUAGAGUGGAAAACUAGAAGAGACCCAUCUAUAUUUACAAAUGUGCAAAUGUGUACAGAAAUCAUACACUGGAUUAAAAACAUCAAAUGAGGUUUUUGCUGGCUUUUGAAAUUAAACUGUGUUCGCAAUGUUUGUCCAGAGUAUUGACAAUAAAGGAAAUUAUGUUACGAUAUGUUAUGCUGUACUAUUUUUAUUAUAACAUUUCACAGCUAAAACUUCAGAAUCAGAAAGAGCUUUAUUGCCAAGUAUGCUUGCGCAUACAAGGAAUUUGUUUUAGUGACAUAAGCUUCCAGUACACAAAAGACAACAACACACAGUCAAAAAAAAUAAAAAAUAAAAACCCUUUGCAGAUAAAUAAGUGUAUAAACAAUUGUGCUAUAAAUGAUAAUGGAAUUGGAUUGAGUAAGAUGCAGGGAUGUACUAGGAUGAAGGGGUAACAAAUAAAUAUAAGGAUAUUGCACAUUUUUUAUUGUAUAAGUGGGGAACAUUUAACUGUUCAUGAGGUAGAUUGCCUGGGGGAAGAAACUGUUCUUGUGCCUGACUGUCCUGGUAUUUGCGGCUCUGAAGCGCCGGCCAGAUGGCAAGAGUUCAAAGAUGGGGUAACUUGGGUGUGAG